UGGUUAGUACAAUAAAUGAUUUCUAGGACAGAAUACUAAGAAUUAUAAUAAUUAUACUCUGUCAAUGGUUAGUACAAUAAAUGAUUUCUAGGACGGAAUACAGUGGUAGACCUGUAAGUAUGACUAAUCAUAUCAACAAACAGAGGAAACUGUAACAAAGCAAACACAGUUACAGGAAUACCUGCAACUAAAGCCAUUGGAAUAGCAAUCCAUACCAAUCCAUGGCCAAGGACAAUAAAAAGCGCGCCGCAAAAAGCUACCAUCAUGGUGCCAAUUGAGAUAAACAACGUUGCAAGUCCUAUUAUUAACCUCUUAGGCAAUAAGUCGAGAAAAUCUUCUUCAACAUAACGCGAGGUAAGAAUAGACAGGAACAUGAGAAUUGAAGUGGCUGAUGAGAAUAAUGCCAGUGCAUCUGAAAUGGCAAAAACUAUGAAGGACCUUUCUGAUAUAAAAAAAGGUGUUCCC
Molecule: long non-coding RNA, 465 nt
Filed under: Panax ginseng (ginseng)
Lineage: Eukaryota; Viridiplantae; Streptophyta; Magnoliopsida; Apiales; Araliaceae
Description: long non-coding RNA (PGIN_LNC011305)
Source: RNAcentral